AUAGUGUAGUUUUGACCCGUUAUCGGAAAAGACUGGGUUAACUCCUUUUUCAUGUAAAGUCCUUGUACCCCUUAUUGUGUACACAGCAUGUACGUCAAAGCAGAGGUGAAAAUUAGUAAUGUAAGCAUGUAAAAUUUACACAUUAUUUUGGAAGCCCGCUCUGCGAUGUCAGCCCUUUGAUGUUAGCCCUUAAAGUGUCAGAAGGAUGGAAAGAAAAUAAUAAAAACAAAUCAGUUUGUUUUGAAUUUCUGUAUUCGGCAAGGUAUAAUUUUCAUGCUCCUGUUACAGAAUAGGAAAAUAUUCAAUCAACUCAAUGAACUGAACUGAUCUUUCAGCAUUAACCGAUUCAUUGAAUCGUCGAACGAGAUCGGUUACGGCAGAAAGAGUUGUAUAUUCUGAAUGACAAGUUAAAAAACUACCCUUUAUUUAGUAAGCCAGCUUUUCUAAAUAAUGUGUAAAAUUGACUUGAGGAAACGACACUUUUUUUGACAGAUCUCGGCUGUUCGCAAUAAUGGGUCAAUUUUACAAGUUUAAGGUGUUGCGCCAAAUGAGUGUGUAGUAAAAUUACAAUCCAAACCAAAACGAACAAUGGUAAACUUCUCGUUUUUUUACACAUUCUCAAAUGAUCGUGUAUAGAGAUUUAUUUUAAAGAGCAGCCAUUUUGAAAAACAAUUUUAUCGCGGGCAAUUUGUUUUGGUUACCAGCAGCGAUUGCAAAAUAUCUUGAAUGAUGCUGUUCCACGGCUCCUUUCACAUGCAGGCUUUUGAAAAAGCUCCCGAUAAAGUUCCCACUGGAGACGGCAGGACGAGAAGGACAAUCUUGCGAAUCUUGUUUUGCUGGCGAAUACAGAGCUGAUGGAUGCAGCAUGAAAAGAUUAACCGAAUUUGGGAUCACGCACCGCUUGCAGCUAGUUGGAGCUGUGUUAAAAACACAUCGAAUGGAAUCAAGGUACAGGAAUUUAUAGAAUUGUGAAAGUUAUUAAAAAGUGAAAAGUGCGGAAAAUACGUUAAAGUAAAAGUUGUGAAAAUGAAAAUGAUUAACAAUAUUAAGAUAAUGUUGUUUUUUUAAUUUCUUUUUUUUGAACAAGGUGACUGAUCGCAAUAAUUGAAUCAAAAUUUAACAUUUUGCCAAAGUUAUUCCUUGUUUUAAGGGAUAUUAUUCCUGAUUUAUCGUGCUUUGUUAUAAAUGUACCAGUACCAAACACGACUAAUCAUGAAUAAAAUUCCUUGAAACGAGUAAUAAAUU
Long non-coding RNA from Uranotaenia lowii, 1245 nucleotides. RefSeq lists it as uncharacterized. The transcript is spliced from 3 exons. The record is from RefSeq and is a predicted model, not a curated record. NCBI's taxonomy places the organism in Eukaryota, Metazoa, Arthropoda, Insecta, Diptera, Culicidae.